RNAcentral lists this ribosomal RNA (752 nucleotides) under uncultured bacterium. RNAcentral describes it as "bacterial SSU rRNA". It matches the Rfam family "Bacterial small subunit ribosomal RNA", at positions 142 to 919 of the family's 1533-position model. The record is from RNAcentral.
AAUAACGGCUGGAAAGCGUAGACAGAGACUACCGUAUGUGACCCAAGGGUGAAAGAUUUAUCGCCUGUGAGGAGGGGCGCCGCGUCCGAUUAGCUAGCUCUGGAGAGGUAAUGGCUCACCAAGGCUUUGAUCGGUAGCUGGUCUGAGAGGAUGAUCAGCCACACUGGGACUGAGACACGGCCCACACUCCUACGGGAGGCAGCAGUGGGGAAUAUUGGACAAUGGGGGCAACCCUGAUCCAGCAAUGCCGCGUGUGUGAUGAAGGCCCUAGGGUUGUAAAGCACUUUCGCCGAUGACGAUGAUGACGGUAGUCGGAUAAGAAGCCUCGGUUAACUCCGUGCCUGCAGCCGCGGUAAUGGGGGGGAGGCAAGCGCUGUUUGGAAUUACUGGGCGUAAAGGGCGCGUAGGCGGCUUCGUGAGUUGAGAGUGAAAGCCCCGGGCUCAACCUGGGAACUGCUCUCAAUACUGCGGAGCUAGAGAACGGGAGAGGGUAGUGGAAUUCCCAGUGUAGAGGUGAAAUUCGUAGAUAUUGGGAAGAACACCAGUGGCGAAGGCGGCUGCCUGGCCCGAUUCUGACGCUGAGGCGCGAAAGCGUGGGGAAGCAAACAGGAUUAGAUACCCUGGUAGUCCACGCCGUAAACGAUGAGUGCUAUACGUCGGGGGACGUGCCCUUCGGAGUCGCCGCUAACGCAUUAAGCACUCCCCCUGAGGAGUACGGCCGCAAGGUAAAACUCAAAGGGAAUUGACGGUGG